Oncorhynchus tshawytscha (Chinook salmon) is the source of this 1712-nucleotide long non-coding RNA. Lineage: Eukaryota; Metazoa; Chordata; Actinopteri; Salmoniformes; Salmonidae. The record is from Ensembl.
CAAAAUUCAGGACUGUAACCCAUGCAAGGCUGACAGACUGACUAACCGACUGUCUGUUUGACUGACUUUGUGACUGACUAGGUGACUAACUGCAACUCAGCCUCAGAGGAGACAGAGAGACAAGAGGUUCGUCCUUCCCGCCCCGCCGUCACGCGACUGUGACAGCUGUUUCAGCUGGCCCUGAAAGGCCCUGUGGAUAUCUCUGUGUCCUGUGUGCUCAUCCCCUGACACCUGCUGUGUGGUGCCCUCUUCCACCUGUGCAAAGAGGAGGAGCAUGCGCUGCUCUCCCCCAAUGAAAAGGUGCCAUGCCUCAAUGCCGGCUUCGGCUGUUCAAUCAGUAUGCCCUGUGCCUGGCAGGCGGUCUACCUGCAGGUCUGUCCCGCCAGCGUGGGUGUGCUGCUCCAUGGAGUGGAAGUCACACCCGGCGCCAGGAUAAAGUGACUAAGGGGGCAGUGAAAUUGGCUGGUGGUGGCUGGUCCACUCCAGGAGUCUGAGGUGCGGGAGGUUCCUCCGCCCCCCCUGGACAUCGAGGGGGCCCGGCAUAUGCUGUUCGAGCCAUACUGGACUCGAGGCGUCGGGCGAGGGGCCUUCAGUAUCUCGUGGAGUGGGAGGUGUAAGGUCCAGAGGAGACCUGCUGGGUGCCGGUGGAGGACAAUUUGGACCCUUCGUUGCUGCAGGAUUUCCACCGUCUCCAUCCGGAUUGCCAUGCACCUCGUCCUCUGGGUCGUCCCCGAGGUCGGUGUCGACGUACAGCUGGAACCGCGUGUCAAGGGGGGGUACUGUCACAACUUCCACCGAAGUCGGUCCCUCUCCUUGUUCGGGCGGCAUUCGGCGGUCAACGUCACCGGCCUUCUAGCCAUCGCUGAUCCACUUUUAAUUUUCCAUUUGUUUUGUCUUUGUUUUACACACAUGGUUUCAAUUUCCCAAUUGCAUGUUUAUUAUUUAACCCUCAGUUUUCCCCAUGGUUUUUGUGCCUGUUUGUUUAUUGCAAGUUUGGUCCGAUGUUUGUGGGCUUGGUGUUACUUCAUGUAUUUUGAAUUGUUUAGUAAAUUUCCUUUUGUUACUCAUCUCUGCUGUCCUGUGCCUGACUCCUCUGCACCAGCUACACCCAGAUCCUUACACAUAAAAAAGCCAGACUACGGUUUGCAACUGCACAUGGGGACAAAGAUCGUACUUUUUGGUGAAAUGUCCCCUGGCCUGAUGAAACAAAAAUAGAACUGUUUGGCCAUAAUGACCAUCGUUAUGUUUGGAGGAAAAAGGGGAUGCUUGUAAGCCGAAGAACACCAUCCCAACCGUGAAUCACGAGGGUGUUAACAUCAUGUUGUGGGGGUGCUUUGCUGCAGGAGGGUCUGUUGCACUUCACAAAAUGUAAGCCCAAAACAAUAACACUUGCAGUGUUAGUGAAAGGUCAUUGGGUGGGGCUACAAAUGAUCCUUUACGGAGUAUGCUACAAUGUUUUACUAAAAACUUGAUCAUAAACAGUAUGCGACUAUGCAGUUUAAGUAUGUAGUAUGCUACUAUGGGUAUUCAGACACGCCCACUGUGUUUCUAGUGCUAAAAUAAGGUGUUUUUGCUGUAUGCUGCUGAGUGCUAAUUAAUUGGAACUAUAUCUCACUUAGGACUUGAACUCAUAACCUAUUCGUUGGUAAUGACAUGAAGUCCCUGCUGCGACACCAGGUCAGAGACAAUAAAAGAGAAAAUAUAUAUGCAAC